GAUGAACGCUGGCGGCGUGCCUAAUACAUGCAAGUCGAGCGAACAGACGAGGAGCUUGCUCCUCUGACGUUAGCGGCGGACGGGUGAGUAACACGUGGAUAACCUACCUAUAAGACUGGGAUAACUUCGGGAAACCGGAGCUAAUACCGGAUAAUAUAUUGAACCGCAUGGUUCAAUAGUGAAAGACGGUUUUGCUGUCACUUAUAGAUGGAUCCGCGCCGCAUUAGCUAGUUGGUAAGGUACCGGCUUACCAAGGCAACGAUGCGUAGCCGACCUGAGAGGGUGAUCGGCCACACGGGAACUGAGACACGGUCCAGACUCCUACGGGAGGCAGCAGUAGGGAAUCUUCCGCAAUGGGCGAAAGCCUGACGGAGCAACGCCGCGUGAGUGAUGAAGGUCUUCGGAUCGUAAAACUCUGUUAUUAGGGAAGAACAAAUGUGUAAGUAACUAUGCACGUCUUGACGGUACCUAAUCAGAAAGCCACGGCUAACUACGUG
Molecule: ribosomal RNA, 497 nt
Filed under: uncultured bacterium
Lineage: Bacteria
Description: partial 16S ribosomal RNA
Rfam family: Bacterial small subunit ribosomal RNA
Source: RNAcentral